This 249-nucleotide unclassified non-coding RNA is filed under the name Phaeotremella sp. Its description in RNAcentral is "partial contains 5.8S ribosomal RNA, internal transcribed spacer 2, and large subunit ribosomal RNA". Lineage: Eukaryota; Fungi; Basidiomycota; Tremellomycetes; Tremellales; Phaeotremellaceae. The record is from RNAcentral.
AACGCACAUUGCGCCCCUUGGUAUUCCGGGGGGCAUGCCUGUUCGAGCGUCAUUUAAACAACCUCAAGCACUGCUUGGCAUUGGGUCUCUCGUCCCCGCUGUGGACGGACCCUAAAGACCUCGGCGGCGGCGCGAAGCCUCAAGCGUAGUAGAAAUAUCCCGCUUUGGAGACUUUGUGAUCGCUCGCUCCCAAAAAACCAUACCUCAAAUGUUGACCUCGGAUCAGGUAGGGAUACCCGCUGAACUUAA